AAUAGCCUAACGGCUGAACCAGCAACUUGGAGGAAUGUAUAGGGAAAACUGGUAAAAUGUGAUGUACCUAGUAAUAUUAGUGAUUAAUACGAGAUUAACUAAGUUAAUUAAAAUUCUAAGUAGAUAUGUGAUUAUGACAAUAUGUGCUUAUGUCUUGACCAAGUCACGUGCCAGCGGUCGCGGUAAUACGUGGAAGAUUAGUGUUAUUCAUCUUUAACAGGUUUAAAGGGUACCUAGACGGUUAAUUAAGCUGUAGAAGGUACUAAUUAACUAGAGUUUAAUGUAAGAAAGAUUGAGUACGGUGAGUGUAGAGAUAAAAUUCAGUCAUACCACUUAGGAACUGGUAAA
Molecule: ribosomal RNA, 348 nt
Filed under: Xalocoa ocellata
Lineage: Eukaryota; Fungi; Ascomycota; Lecanoromycetes; Ostropales; Graphidaceae
Description: mitochondrial SSU rRNA
Source: RNAcentral